UGGAGAAUGCAGCUCAAUGGUAGAGUGCUAAUUUAGCAUAAUGUGAGGCCCUAGGUUUGAUCCCUAGCACUGCAG
This 75-nucleotide transfer RNA is filed under the name Marmota monax (woodchuck). Its description in RNAcentral is "tRNA.Ala". The record is from RNAcentral. Lineage: Eukaryota; Metazoa; Chordata; Mammalia; Rodentia; Sciuridae.